This 414-nucleotide ribosomal RNA is filed under the name Psychropotes longicauda. RNAcentral describes it as "partial 16S ribosomal RNA". It matches the Rfam family "Bacterial large subunit ribosomal RNA", at positions 1957 to 2574 of the family's 2925-position model. Lineage: Eukaryota; Metazoa; Echinodermata; Holothuroidea; Elasipodida; Psychropotidae. The record is from RNAcentral.
UAGCAUAAUAAUUUGUUUUUUAAAUGAAAACUAGUAUGAAUGGCCAUCCAUUUUCUAACUGUCUCUCUAUAUUCUCUUUUAAAUUUCUACCCCCGUGAAGAAGCGGGGAUUUCAAAGUAAGACGAAAAGACCCUGUCGAGCUUAAGCUAAUAAAAGAAAUUUUAAUAUAUUAAUUUAUAUUUAUCUUUUUUAAGCUUUGGUUGGGGCAACCAUGGAGUAAAAUUAUCCUCCAGUUAUAAUAAGAUGAAUUUUAUUCUCUUUAUAUAUUUAAUGAACCAAACUAUUUUGGUAAACAGAAAAAGUUACCGCAGGGAUAACAGCGUAAUCUUCUUUGAGAGCCCAUAUUGACAAGAAGGUUUGCGACCUCGAUGUUGGAUUGGGGCAACCAAAAAGCGCAGCCUCUUUUAAAGGUUG